RNAcentral lists this long non-coding RNA (509 nucleotides) under Capsella rubella. Its description in RNAcentral is "long non-coding RNA (CRUB_LNC004605)". Lineage: Eukaryota; Viridiplantae; Streptophyta; Magnoliopsida; Brassicales; Brassicaceae. The record is from RNAcentral.
CGGCAAUUGCUACUAUUAAUCAUCUUCACUUGUUUAUGAUUUGUAUUUCAUGUUUAAGACAUUUGUAUUAUCUCAAGUUAAUACCUAUGUUUCCAACGAUUCACGAUGUGAUGUUUUUUUUUUUUUUUUUGCCAGGUUAAGUGAUAUUACAUGAAAGAAGUGAAACUAUUAAAUGAUGAUUACAUCUCAGGGAAGAAAAACACAAAACAUGUCAUGCAUCACAGGACCACACGAUAUGUAAACAUUGAAUUGUAGUCACGGGAAAAAAAAAAACCAAAAUAAUGGUCGUCCCAAUUUGUUUUCUUACGCUUUAAACUCAUUGUUUCCACUCAAAUGAUCUGAUGGAAUAUAAACAUAUUCUGUUACAAUCUCUAGUUAUUCUCGUCUAUAUAUAUAUUGUUUCGUAUAUCCCAUAUAAUGUGGAACUGCUUGUAACCUCUUUGGCUAUUUAAAGUCAUGUACAUCAAUGUAUUAUUCUAUGGAAAAUCAUUCUGAUAACAUUAUCUGAA